AAAGAUUUCAUUUUACUCAUCCAAAGUGCCACGUUAAAAAAUAACAAAUAAUAAUAAAUAAAGAAUUAAACAAAUAUAUACGUCCUCUGCUUGUUAACCAAUCUUGGCUGGUCAAAUUCACGUUGAUUAAUUUAAACCGGUUGCUAAUGUUGUUUAUAUUGUUCUUUUCUUUUGCAUUUUUGGUGGAAGCCCUUCAGCUAAGACAUGUUUGUCUAUAAACCUCCUCUCUAAUCGUAUGUACCACAAAAAGAGUAACUGAUUCAUGACUAUUUUUUCAGUCUUUGUUACUCACCUUUCUUGCCUCAUAACUCUUCUCAACACAUUGACACAAUCAUGUUCUAGGACAAAGAUUUCAUAAUUUCUUUGUCCAGUGUGGUUUUCAAGAACACCCGAGAUGUCAAUAUUGGUGGCUCUGUUUCUGCUUCUUGGGGUUGUUCCAUUAGCUUUUGCUGGGCAUGACUAUGGCCAAGCUCUUAGCAAGAGCAUUCUCUUCUUUGAAGCUCGUAGAUCUGGUUACCUUCCCAUUAUCCAGAGAGUCCAAUGGAGAGGUCAUUUUGGUCUCAAAGAUGGCAAUACUAGCGAGGCUGUACGUAGAGACAUAUGAUACUUGGAGGAGGAUAACAAGGAUGAUCCUUCCAGUCUCCUUUUUUUUAUUUUAUUUAUUUAUUUAAGAUUUAAUACAAAUCCUUAGGAUCUGAGACAUUAAAAAUUUAUUAUUAUUAUCAUUGUUAUUAUUAUUUGUUGUGGAUUGGGUUUAUUUGGUUAGUAAAAUGGGUUUAUGAAUGGAUUCACCUUGAUUAUAAAAAUUUAAUUUAAUUUUUUAAAAAAUUAAAUCAUUUAAAUACAUUGUUA
This is a long non-coding RNA of Cornus florida, 852 nucleotides long. RefSeq lists it as uncharacterized. The record is from RefSeq and is a predicted model, not a curated record. The transcript has 2 exons. NCBI's taxonomy places the organism in Eukaryota, Viridiplantae, Streptophyta, Magnoliopsida, Cornales, Cornaceae.